RNAcentral lists this ribosomal RNA (511 nucleotides) under Salmonella enterica. RNAcentral's name for it is "partial 23S ribosomal RNA". It matches the Rfam family "Bacterial large subunit ribosomal RNA", at positions 1273 to 1777 of the family's 2925-position model. Lineage: Bacteria; Pseudomonadati; Pseudomonadota; Gammaproteobacteria; Enterobacterales; Enterobacteriaceae. The record is from RNAcentral.
CUGGAGGUAUCAGAAGUGCGAAUGCUGACAUAAGUAACGAUAAAGCGGGUGAAAAGCCCGCUCGCCGGAAGACCAAGGGUUCCUGUCCAACGUUAAUCGGGGCAGGGUGAGUCGACCCCUAAGGCGAGGCCGAAAGGCGUAGUCGAUGGGAAACGGGUUAAUAUUCCCGUACUUGGUGUUACUGCGAAGGGGGGACGGAGAAGGCUAUGUUGGCCGGGCGACGGUUGUCCCGGUUUAAGCGUGUAGGUGUGUGUUCCAGGUAAAUCCGGUUCACUUUAACACUGAGGCGUGACGACGAGGCACUACGGUGCUGAAGCAACAAAUGCCCUGCUUCCAGGAAAAGCCUCUAAGCAUCAGGUAACAUCAAAUCGUACCCCAAACCGACACAGGUGGUCAGGUAGAGAAUACCAAGGCGCUUGAGAGAACUCGGGUGAAGGAACUAGGCAAAAUGGUGCCGUAACUUCGGGAGAAGGCACGCUGACACGUAGGUGAAGUGAUUUACUCACGGAGC